This 129-nucleotide small RNA is filed under the name Salmonella enterica subsp. enterica. RNAcentral describes it as "RtT sRNA". It matches the Rfam family "RtT RNA". From Rfam's summary of the family: This family represents a bacterial cis-regulatory element known as RtT RNA. The exact function of RtT is unknown although it is thought that it may be involved in changing the cellular response in relation to amino acid starvation. Lineage: Bacteria; Pseudomonadati; Pseudomonadota; Gammaproteobacteria; Enterobacterales; Enterobacteriaceae. The record is from RNAcentral.
UCUCUCCGCAAUGAGGAAGGAUGAGAAGCUCGACUAAGGUUCGAUUCGAGCGAAAGUGAGAGAACGUUGCCAACGGCAACGGCCCGAAGGCGAAGCGCGCAGCGCUGAGUCAUCCUUUUCCCACCACCA